Long non-coding RNA from Puntigrus tetrazona (Sumatra barb), 685 nucleotides. RefSeq lists it as uncharacterized. The transcript is spliced from 4 exons. The record is from RefSeq and is a predicted model, not a curated record. Lineage: Eukaryota; Metazoa; Chordata; Actinopteri; Cypriniformes; Cyprinidae.
UUAGUACCCAUCUACACGGGUCAUUUAUAGACAGGUGCAUGCAUUAACAGCAGCCUGUCUAUUCGUACAAUUAGGGCCCAAACUUUUAUCUAGGCACUUUUAAUUCUUUACUCUUUUAAACCCCAGAGACCCAGCCUAAUUUAAGACAGUGUAAAGAAGCUUUGAAACCAGACACUGUUUUUUGGCCUGGCCUCUCAUGGUUUUACACCCUCACUGUACCCCUGGGAGAGCAGGUGUGCUGUGGAUUGUGUAAGACUUAAACUACUGACAAAAUGUUCUUGAUUCUGACAUUCGAGAUUGUCUUACCUGCUGGUUCUUUUUUUGUUUAUCCAGGCUGCCGUUCAUCUGCUGUGACACCAGCAGUGAAGGUUAUUCUUUCCCAGUGAAGGACUGCGUGAAAUAGAAAGUUUAGCACAAUCUCAGAGAAGAUCGCAUCUACUUUUACUAUAUGGAGAAGUGCAGCAUUACUGCUUUGCUAAAUAUCUCCUUUUGCUUAGGUGCAUGAUUGUCUAAUGAGAUGGCUGAAAAUGGGACAGAUUUGAAGUUUCCUUGAAGAAGAGUGGGACUGUGGGACCAGCACAAUCAGAGCUCUGGAAAGACAGCGUCUUCACAGCUAUCGGCUCACGUGAGUGACUCUCCACCAAACCACCCCACACUGACCAGAUCUGCAGAAAACUCGCAAAGC